Molecule: RNA transcript, 15803 nt
Organism: Numida meleagris (helmeted guineafowl)
Lineage: Eukaryota; Metazoa; Chordata; Aves; Galliformes; Numididae
Gene: TBCK
Gene name: TBC1 domain containing kinase
Exons: 33
Source: RefSeq, a predicted model, not a curated record
GGCGGGCGGGAAUUACGUCAGGAGGGCGCCGCCUGCUGAGGUACCUGUGCUGCGCGCUGAGGUACCCGCCCUGCCCGAGCCUCGACCCUGCCCACAGAGCAGUGCCCGAGCCGGCUGCCGCACGCCGGGCUCUCUUGAGGGAGCGGCUCGGGGUUUGGGGCUGGGGGACGUCCCUCGGUGGCCGCUGGUGACGGGAGGAGCUGAGAAAGGGCCGUCAGGUGCCCGCCAGGAACACGAAUUGUUUGGAAGAGCUUAAGAUUGUGCAGGGAAGAUGUUUCCUUUAAAAGAUACUGAGAUGGGUGCCUCCACUUUCUUUGCCUCAGCUCUUCCACAUGAUGUUUGUGGAAGUAAUGGCCUUCCUCUGACACCCAACUCCAUCAAAAUUUUAGGGAGAUUUCAAAUCCUUAAAACAAUCACCCAUCCCAGGCUUUGCCAGUAUGUUGAUAUUACCAGAGGUAAACACGAGAGACUGGUGGUGGCUGCUGAACACUGUGAAAAUAGUCUGGAAGAUUUGCUGCGAGAGAGAAAACCAGUUAGUUCCUCAAGAAUUUUAUGCAUUGCAUAUGAGGUUUUGCAAGGUUUGCAAUAUAUGAACAAACAUGGAAUGGUCCACCGAGCACUCUCCCCUCGCAAUAUUCUUUUGGAUCGAAAGGGACACGUCAAGUUGGCCAAAUUUGGACUCUACCAUAUGACUGCUCAGGGUGUUGAUGUUGAUUUUCCUGUCGGGUACCCAUCUUAUCUGGCACCUGAAGUAAUUGCACAGGGAAUAGUCAAACCAAGUGAUCAUACUCAGUGUGAGAAGCCUCUGCCUUCUGGCCCUAAAUCAGAUCUCUGGUCUCUUGGCAUAAUACUAUUUGAACUUUGUGUGGGGAGAAAAUUGUUCCAGACUUUGAAGAUAGCAGAAAUAUUAAAAUUUGUAAUUACAUUAGGCUGCGUAGAUGAUAUUGUAACUGUAUUAGCUGAAGAACACGGUUGCCUUGAUAUUAUUAAGGAUCUUUCUGAAAAUAUCAUGACGCUGCUGAAAAAAUGCCUUACAUUCCAACCUUCUAAGAGGCCAACUCCAGAGGAACUGAUGCAUGACAGUUUGUUCAGUGAAGUGUCUUUGGCAUACCCUCCCUUUCACAAACCUGCUGGACUGUUCUCAUCCUCUCCAAGGUGUGCUAACUUAACGCUACCUGAAGACAUAAGUCAGUUAUGCAAAGAUGAAGAUAAUGAUUACCUAGCAGAAAGAUCAAUUGAAGAGGUUUAUUAUCUCUGGUGUCUGGCUGGAGGAGACUUAGAGAAAGAACUUGUCAACAAGGAAAUAAUUCGAUCAAAACCACCUGUCUGCACACUUCCCAACUUUGUGUUAGAAGAUGGUGAAAGCUUUGGGCAAGGACGAGAUAGAAGUUCCCUUCUAGAUGACACAACUGUGACUUUGUCUCUGUGCCAGCUCCGAAAUAGACUGAAAGAUGUCGGUGGGGAAGCAUUUUAUCCAUUACUUGAAGACGACCAGUCAACUUUACCUCAUUCAAAUAGUAGUAGUGAGCUGUCUGCCGCUGCCAAUCUACCUCUGAUCAUCCGGGAGAGGGACACAGAGUAUCAGCUAAACAGAAUUGUUCUGUUUGACAGGCUGUUGAAGGCCUACCCAUACAAGAAAAACCAAAUCUGGAAAGAAGCUAGAGUUGAUAUCCCUCCUCUCCUGAGAGGCAUAACCUGGGCUGCUUUGUUGGGUGUUGAGGGUGCCAUUCAAGCAAAAUAUGAUGCCAUUGAUAAAGACACACCGAUUCCUACAGACAGACAAAUUGAAGUUGAUAUUCCUCGUUGCCAUCAGUAUGAUGAAUUGCUGUCAUCACCAGAGGGUCAUGCAAAGUUUAGACGUGUAUUGAAGGCCUGGGUUGUUUCUCAUCCUGAUUUGGUAUACUGGCAAGGUCUUGAUUCCCUUUGUGCACCAUUCCUAUACUUGAAUUUUAACAAUGAAGCUCUGGCAUAUGCCUGCAUGUCUGCUUUUAUACCCAAGUAUUUGUAUAACUUCUUUCUGAAGGAUAAUUCUCACGUUAUCCAAGAGUACCUAACGGUGUUUUCUCAGAUGAUUGCAUUCCAUGAUCCAGAGCUGAGCAACCACCUUAAUGAAAUUGGUUUUAUUCCUGAUCUCUAUGCUAUUCCAUGGUUUCUUACGAUGUUUACACAUGUCUUUCCUUUGCAUAAAAUUUUUCACUUGUGGGAUACAUUACUGCUUGGAAAUUCCUCCUUCCCAUUCUGCAUAGGGGUGGCUAUACUUCAACAACUGAGGGAUCGUCUUCUUGCAAAUGGAUUCAACGAAUGCAUUCUCCUUUUUUCAGACUUACCAGAGAUUGACAUUGAGCGUUGCGUUCGUGAGUCAAUCAACCUGUUUCGCUGGACCCCGAAGAGUGCUACAUACAGGCAAUAUGCACAGCCUCCUCGACAAGCCAAUGAGAGCAAUGGCACAAGAAGUUCAAUGUCCUGCUUUUCUGUAGAUUAUCAGGAAUCACCUAGAGGCGACCUGUCUAGGGAUUCUAUCAAGUUGGAUGACCUGAAGGCAGAGGUGUCACCACGGAUUUCAGCAGAAGAUCUGAUUGAUCUUUGUGAAUUGACAGGACCCAGUCAUUCCAAAACACCUAUAAAGAAAACGAAGUCUAGCAAGCCAAAGUUGCUGGUGGUGGACAUCCGUAACAGCGAAGACUUUAACCGUGGCCACAUCUCUGGCAGCAUCAACGUCCCAUUUGCAUCAGCAUUUACUGCAGAAGGGGAUCUCAUCCAGUGCCCAGCAACUGCCACACUCCAGAGCUUUAAAGGAAGAGUUGUGGUGAUUGUAGGAAAUGCAGUGAAGAACAUGGCUGCUUUUGCAGCUCAUCUAGUGAAGAACAAGUACCCACGGGUCUGCAUCCUAGAUGGAGGAAUCAACAAGAUCAAGCCAACUGGUCUCCUCACUGUUCCUUCUCCACAAAUAUAAGUGACUGUAAAUGUUCAGGAUGAUCUGUCUGAAUAGGUACUCAGAAAAGGACUGUAAGCCCAAAGAAUAGAAUGCCUUUAAGAAAAUAGGAUUUUUUUGUGUCCCCAGCUCCUCUUUCCUUUAGUAAGAAAGGUAGGAAGCAUUCAGUAUCUCCUGCAGCUAAUAUUUAGAGUGAGAAGCCAAGUUAUCUUCUGAGUAAAAUAUACUUCAGCAGAUUCAGCACUUCCUUUUUGACUAAUACAUGUUUUUAUUAUUUAAAUAUUGAACAUUAUAGAUUUCAUCCAUAAUACCGUUCAGUUUCAGCUUUGAAUUUAGUUAAGUAAGAUUCGAGUCUUAUAUAUUCCAUUUGUGUAUGGAUAUAUUUUUGACACAGAACUUAAAAGCUGCCAUUAAGAAAGAGAUCGUGUUAUAAAGUGAUGUUUAUAUGCAUUUCUCUGGAGAAGUUGUGAGAGGAUGGGUGAAAAAGCAGUAAAUGUCAAGAACUGCUAUACAACACUGACUUUCCCACGUAAAUAGAACUACCUGGGAAGUUCUGUAGCUAACAGUUGCAGAAGUGCCAGUUGCUGGUAUACCUAUACUUACCACUUCAGUCAGCAUUUUUGAAACUGUGCCUAUAAAUCAGCACACCAUGUCUGGAUUCAAUUACAUUAGACAAAUACUCAGUUACAAAAAUAGCUUUGAACUCCUUAACCAUAGAAAAGGGAUACUCUUGCAUUUUGUUGUAAUUUCUCGUUAGAUAAUUUAUCUUGGUUUUGUGGUGGUUCUGCAGUUUAAGAAAUGAGCAUCAAGACACGUUUACUCUGUUAUUCUGCCAAUUUUGGCAGUACUCUGGUGGAACAAGCAGUUGUCAGUUUUCAUAGAACUCUUGGGAGAUUUCUGGAGGCCAGGUUAUUUUAUCACGCUUCUUUCUGGUAGCAUUGUUUGUCCAACAAUGCAAUGCUCAUUCUUUGUUUUAGACUACAGCUGUAUACCAGGGAGAUCUAGUAGGAGCAAAUAACUACCAUUCUUCUGAGCUGAUGUUUUCUGCUGCUAGAAGAAAAAUAUCUCAGCUAAAUAUUUCCCACUGUUUGGACUGGAAAAAUGCAAUGUUUCCCAAACUGUUUUUUGUCCUACAGUUUUGAAGACAUACUGAAGCUGCCCCAGCCACCUGUGCCUGUAGUUUCCUGCCGGGGCAGCUGAGCUCCCCACAGAACAUUCAGGUGCGCAUCUAGGGACGACAGAGCAAAGGAGAUGAAACCUUCCUUUCUCAGUCUUGCAUCUGUUGGUCACUGUAGGCAGUUAAAUAAUUGCUGUUAAACUAGAGUGUCCUUUGAGAAUGUUAUUAGACUUUGUUUCUAUGUCAUUGGUUUUUGUUCUUUUUAAAGUAGAUAAUUGUUAUUUUUAAACGUUAGCAUGUUUUCCAUUUUAGAUUUGUAUUCUCCUUGUUGACAAUAUAGAGUAUUUCAUAGACAGUCUUUCUAAUAUUUCUGACACAGAAAUUAUAACCACAGCAGCUAAGCACAUACAAGUACGUAUUCUUUUACUUAUUUCUUGUUCUGAUCUCCUGAAUUAUUUGUAUGAGUGUGAUGAGCUCACUUAUUUGUUGGAAUGGGCAAAGAGUUAAUUUUAAUCAACAUCCUUUCCUUGUGUCUUUUUCCAGGCUUUAAGCUAUCAUUGUAUUGUGCAGGCGUAAUACAAUGGUGCAGUGUCUUUUCUGUGACCUUCUGGAUGCAGUUGAGUAUUUCCUGAGUUUUUUAGAUCUGCCAUCCCUUCUUUAUGAGUAUUACCUUUCAUGUGAGGACUUGACUUCUCCCACCUUUGUUGUCUUCCUAAGAGCCUACUCUAGGUGUGCUGGUGAUCAGGUUCUUAUGAGACAGUUGUAUGUUACAGUCAGUUAGCGAGGCUUCUCUUGCUGCUUUAUUCAGCAGAGGAAGAUGGAUAUUAGAACAUCUCUUAGCUGGAAUUCAGAGCUGCAUCACACACAGUUCAAAUAACAGUUCAGAAAGGUAGUGUGUGAGAGCCUGUUAGUUUUGUGGCCGGAGACAUACUUACUGUUCCUGUUUGCAGGGCAUUGAUGUUGUCCAGAAUAUCCAUUCUGGAGAUUUAAUUUGUUUAUUACUUUGCAAUACUUGAUGGUUUGGGUAGUGUGUUAGGCUUUCUUCUUUUAAAAUGAAAGCUAUCUCUUUCUUUAGCUUUCUCAGUGUUGAUAUUUUGCUUUUUUGAUCUGGGAAUUGCAUGGGGAUAAGGGUGGCCGUUUCUAGUGACUCCUGUUUCUAGUUAUCGUUUCUUUGAUGAAGACUCAUACUGGUCUCUCUCAGUGUUAUGUUGGAAGCUUAAUCACUGUCAUUAGUCAUCUUGCUAUUGUUGAUUCCUUAUCCUGGCCGAACUUGCAAAGGUUGACUGAAAGAAUUAUUAUUCCUCCCAUAAAAGUGUUUCUUUCCAAGGCAAGUAGUGAAACUUGAUGCACUGCAUGCAAAGGAGCAGGAACUACAGGCAGUCAGCACGAGGUGAGGAAAGUCUAUGUGUGUGGCACCAGGUGUGAAAUCAAGGCACAGGCCUUGACUACGCUGGAGUGCGCACUGUGGGGAGAUGCCUGGUGCUGUCUCCUUUCCAUCCAGCUCCACGCACAAGGGUGGACAUCCCCUCCCUAACCCCUGGCUUGCAUGAAACUUGAACUGCACUGGCUGAGCAAGCACCAGAUUUUUGUAUUCGACUGGCUAAACUAUAGACUUUCCUUUUUGUUUGAAUCCCAAGCUAUAAUGCUAGUAUUGUCAUUCUUUUAAAUUUCCAGUCUUGGUAAAGAUGUGAUGCCAGAAAACGUGUUCUGCUUUGGAAGUAGUGUUUCAUCUGCCUUUCAAGUAACCAUGAGAUUUAAAGAUUGCUAAUGGUAGUACCUUUUAAGCUAUCUCACUAAAUUACCUGUUGGACAACCGUCCGCAUUCUUUGACAACAGCAUCUGUAUUCUGUGAAGUUAUGUUCAAAAAUACAUCUUAUACUACCAUCAUCAUGUGGAGCAUAAUUCAGUAUUUCACUGUGGCUGUCUUGUUUUAUCAGCAUUUAAUGGAACACCGUUACACAGAGUUUAAAGAGAAACUGGUUGAAAAAAAAAAUAAAAUCAAGAGUAUUAUUACCAUUAGAUACAUUUCUAAUUAGUUCUUGUAAAGCUUUCUCCAAGAUCGUGUUUAACCAUAGUGUAAAUCAAUGUUCAAGUUAACCUCUGGUAGUUGUCUUGCAUGUGAUGAUAGAGUGACACCAGUGCACGCACUGUUGUAAUUUUUUUUUUUUGUCCUAGUGAUAAUUCAUCAAGUGCUCUAGAAGCUGUAUCCCAUAACAUAUAGAUACUAAGAGAGUUUCCAGACACAGUAAUCUGUGUGAAAGAGCAGACACAGUAGAGCAACCCAGUGAUCAGCGUGGUAGUCAUUGUUUUUAAUGGAAUAACCCAGAGAAAAGUUGUAGAUCACUGUUUUGUUUAAUACUUCCUAACUAAAGCAGCAUUAAAUUUUUCUCUUCUUUGGCAGUCUAAGGUUAUCUGGCAUUAUAUCACUUUAAGGAGUUGUAGCAUCUGGCGUUAUCAGCUCUUCCCGCUCAGCUGGCCGAGGAAGUAAAGUCCUGUGAGUACAGAGCAGAAAUAGGUGACAUCAGUUGCAGCAUGUUAGAAGGGAUCUUGGCAAAUCUCUUCAAUAUGACGUGUCCUCAGUGUAGGACCAGUUCAGAGUUCUGUGGCUGUAGAUCUUCAGGAAUUGAAACAUUCCCGUCCCAGACCUGAAAAGACACUGCAUUUAUAAAAGAGGAGAGAGCAGAAACAAUCAAAAAGGAAAAUGGAGAAACACCACCCGCCAGCAGCCUGAGUAGUAUUCACACAACCCCCGGAACUGCUCUCAUUCAAAUAACACGUCCCGCUUGCGAGCAGUUACUGUCAGAGAGAGGAGGAGCCCGUCUUGGCUGUAGCUGCUGAGCUGCAGUCUACAGCUAGGUAAUGUUUUGUUUCAGGGGCCUGCUCUGUGGGAGGUAGUGCUUGUGCAGAGGCUGUCUUUGCUCUUGGCUUUAGCAGUAGCGUAGCCUCCAAGGAAAAAAAUUAUCUCAUUAGCUCUUGGCGAGGAGAUGGUGUACAGCCAGAGCAGUCCACAUGUGCACAGCGUGGUCUUCGUCUCACUAUACAAUUUGUAAUUGCUGAUUGCUUUUUGGCUGUUGUUGAAAGCCUGCCUGUCAAUCCCCAGCUAGAGUGCAAAACAGUAAGUUAUCAUCCUCCCUCAUCUCCAGUCUAGUUCAGCAUGAGCUCUACAAAAGAGACUGUAAAGUCUCACUGCAAGAGAGGUUCAUAACCUUUGGUCAUAUACAGAUCUCCAAAAAUAUAAAUUAAAUUGCCAAAGGAUCAUCCCGAAGUGAGAUUUUGUGUAUGAGUGCAUACAUACUUAAUGCGUUUCAGAAAUGCUUUUUCCUCUCACUUUUUUUUUUUUUUUCGGCCAGUGUGUUUUAAAGACCUUUCUUUCCUUCUGUUUGUUUUCUUUGGGUUUUGUUUUUGUUUUUUUAAUGCUAUAACCAUGGAGCUUGGGAAGUGGGGGGUUUUCUCAUACCUAGAUUGGUUCAUCUUAUGUAGUGAUGUUCUUACAAUCCACUAGUAACAGUUAUCCAGGCAUGCUUUAAAAAAUUUAUAAGAAAAAUGUACUUGGAGCAAAAACUGUUUUUUAUUUUACCUUUAGAAAGAGAAGUAUUAAGGAAAUUGAAAUUAUUAUAAAAUAAUUUCACCGAGAUGGUUAAAAGCUUGGAAAGCUCAAAUCAGUGAAAACAAACGAGUAUGCAGAAGAGAGGUAAUAAAGUAUAACAGAUAUUAUAUCCAGAUUUGUCAGUGGGUCAGUCAAAAUUGUGAAAUUUGGAAAAGAAUUAUCAUUCAGAGUGCUUAGCCCCAGCCCUGGUUCCUUCUCAAGCCUGUCCUGUAAGCUCGUGGUUUUCAUAUCCAUACAUAGUCUCUCUUUAUUUGCCUCCAGUGCUGUCUUCCUAGGUGUGUGUGUGGUCCUGAAAGCAGAAACAGCGCUUAUAGAAAGUGUGCACAAUACAUUGUGUUAUCUGUUAUUUCAAGUGGUAACUAAUUUUUUUUUUUUUUGACAAGUACAUACUUCCAAAUAUAAUGACAUUACAAUUAACUGUAAAUGGCAAAUUCUCUGAAAUCAGAUUUGAAACUCUCAUGCAGGAGAAGGAAGGAAGGAGAAUCCAGAGUUCAUAUUUCCUGCAUUUCUUCAGGAUUAUCUCUUCAAAACUGGGAAUCUGUGUCUUGAACAAACUGAAGAGUGUGAACCUGCUGAUCUCUGAUAUACUGGCGUCCUUGCCAGACCAGAAAGUAAGACCUACAGGUAGAUAUGGCCUCUUUGUGAAAUCUUGAGCCACAGCCAUGCGUGAAUGAGGCGUGCUUUUCCUUCGGGGAGCCAGCAGCCUAGAUUCUCAGAAACCAUUCAGAGUAUGCCGUGCAGCACAUUUCAUGCAAGAGAAAAGAUUAUCAGAUACAUACUUGUGCCUGCGUGGACAAUCGCUUAACGUGACAAAGGUACCGUAGCACACUCUGCAUGUGGAUAUUCUGAGAAAUAAGCAAUGUAUUUGUUAUAACGUAGGAGAUUCUUUCUUUCCGAUUCUUUGUCUCCAUUUUUGCAACCAUCAGCUAUUUCAUUUACUAUUUAUUAGGUGUAUUGCAAAUGGCAGCAUUUUGUUGUUUUGUCAGGCCUAGGGUUUUUCUUUUUGCUCAGAUUUCAUAUUCUGCUGUUUCCCUUACUGUCUUUGGGACUCAUAUCCAGCUCCUGAGCAAGACUUCAGUAUUCUCCAGCGGGAGUGUACUCAGCUUGGAGUUGAAAGCCAGAUGCUAACUAGGAACAUGGGAGAUGCAGGUCUUCAGUUUUCACCUAUGCCUCAUAUUCUGUUUCCCACUAUGCAAGUUAUCGCCUCUCUUCUCUUUUCCUUUACCACCUCCGGUAUAAAUGUUACUCUUACUUAGCCUAUGACCAGGUUUGAUAAUUUCUUUGCAGAAACUUUCUCUUGAAAUUGAGUGUAGGAAAGCUUCUGACACUAGCGAAGCAAACUUGAUAGUGAAUAGCUGCAAAAAUGUUUAUUUCUACAGUAUUUCUAAGUGAGUAUUUUGAUCUGCUGUUGAAAAAUUGGAGGAAACGGAUGGUCCUACACAACAAAGAUAAUUAUGCAUUGUGAUUAGAACCAAGUUGGUCACUGUCUCCUGUUGGUAAAUGCUUCUGCCAGGUUCAGCAACAUCGAUUUGGAGGAUAGAAGGGAAAUGAAGCAUUCCUAACUGGGAUUUUUGUGGAUAUGUCUAAUUCCCUGUGUUUCUUGCUAGUAUUCAUUGUAAUUAAAAAUUUGUAGGAAAAAACUGUUUGAAUCCAAUCUGCCCCUAUAAGAAUACUAGGAGAUGAGACUCUGAAGCUGGUAAUAAAUAACAUUGUUUUUUUCUAGAAAACUCAAGACUGAACCGUUGGAAAAAGCUUGACUGUGCUCCAGUGUCUGAUUUCUCUCUUUCCAGCUUUUUAAUACAAUAGCAGUCACAUUACGUUCUGUGUGACUUUUGUACGUUGUUAGGACUUGAUUUUCUGUCAUUGCUCUGAUACGCUGCUGCUCCUGCAGCCUGUUCUGCUGUUGCUAUCUCCUUCGUUUUGUUCCCUGGGAUUGUUAUUUCUGCAGAUUUUGGGUACCUGCAUUUAUGACAUUUCUUGAGUGCAUUUCAGGGAGUGUCUUUCAAUGCAAGUCAGUGGGGUGAAGUAAUAGUUUGGCAUUUGAUACGAUGAUUUUGGCAGAGUUCUCUGAGCACGAUACCGUAAUAGACUGGAUAGUAAGGAGCAAUGUUGAAGUUUCCUCGUGUGCUAUGAAAUGAUGUUUGUGUGAACUGUGAGAAUCCAGUUUCUCAAGCUGUGCUGAGCUGAAGAUGCUGAGCUUCACCUCCAUUUCUUGUAACUAGAGAGACAAUGUGAGCAAGUGUUUUGGAGAGACUGGAAGUUUAUUCUUGCCUCUGCCACUGAGAUGAGGCUGCUCAACUGGCUUAAUCAAAGCUUUGGGUUUUUUUCUACUGUAUUCCUGAGUGCACUCUUGAAAAAAUGUGUUUUAUUUUAUGUUCAGGUGAGAUCCAAAUGCAAUUGUUUUUCUGGAUGCUGUUGUAGUUCAAAUAAUAAACACCUUACAUUCAUUAUGUAAUAUAUGAAUGCAGUUUCAAGAUGUUUAAUAUUUGAAAAGCCUUCACUGAAUUUACUUCUGUUCUGCUAAACGUAAUGCGUUAUAUUUUUCUGGGAUAAACCUGUAACUCAUCAUCUCCAAGUAAGUACGAGCACUAUCUACUCAUUGCUUAGUGCUCCAUUAGUAUGGUUUGUAAGCAUGGAAAAAUAGCACUCCUAGUUAAAUCAUCCUGCUGUUUCUAUGGAGAUCCGGAACUAUACAUUUACCUGUUAGUUACGCUACCUAACAAUAUAAAUAUAAAUGCAGUAACUACAACUGUAGCUGUCACAGAGAUACUGACUGGGAAUCGUUGAUGCAACAGAAGGGUCCUGCCCCAGUCAGGGCAGGCAGAGACAAAGCAAAUCUCUUCAUCUAGCAGCGCUCAGGACUUCUGGGAGGAAGAUUUUACUCACGUUCAUCCAGUGCCCAAGGCUUUAAGCCUCUUUCAUUGACGUGCUACAGAAGGAAUUCUGAAGGUGAGCUUUUUAAGAAGCGCCCUGUCAGAGGUUGUUUGAACAGUUCUUUGGUAAUCCAAGAAUAUUAAAAGGUACUUCCAGAAACCAACUACUUUUUAAAGUAGUUUGGGUAUGAGAAGGUGCUGCUGCUGAGCGGAGUAAAUGCGUGAGGUAGGGAGCUUGUCUGUUGUGUGUUACAGGCAGUGGAUGUUAAAGAGCACUGAGAGCUUGCAUGCUGUUUCAGUGGCAGGUCCACAAAGAGCUCAUAUAUUCAAAGAUCAAACUAUACAUAUACUGACAGCCUUUCUUCUUGCCUUUUGUCUGAUUUUAGAUAUUUUUAAUUAAAUUAAGGACCUCUCUUGCAGAAGUUACAUAUCGUUCAGACAUUGAGCUAGAUCAGUAGUCUCUCCCAGCAGGCAGGUGGUGCUUCCCGCUGGCAAGCAGCUGCAGUGCCAAGCGGUGUCUGGCUGUGUGAAACAUUGUGCUGCCCACCUAAUUUCCCAAACAUGAAAACCACAGAUUGACACAGCUGCUUUAAUCAGGUGUUAGGGUGGAAGUGUGAUGAUAAGUGUAUUUCCUCUGUGGCUCUGCCAGUGCUUCUUCGUGGAAAAAUACGCCCACUCUGAUUGUAAUAAGGAAGCAUCGUGAAUCGGAAUUACUAUGAAAGCAGAACUGAGUUUAAUUUGGCCGAGAGACAGAGUGCAAUAGUUUUAUACAAAUUGAGAGCUUUCCUGUGAGAGAUUGAGUUACUCCACACUAGAAAACCCCUUAAUUUUUUUCAGUUUAAACAUUUAAAGUGGAUGGUGAAAAAGUGGAGCUCUAGGCAAAUGUACUACUGCUGUGUGAGAUCCAUGGAUAUAGUUUCCUUAAGAACUGUCUCUUGCUGCAUGAAAAUGGGCUUGUUUUCUGUUUUGCAGUUUCUCUCUUGAAAAGGGAUUUUUCAGAGGUGACAGCUUUUCAAUAUUUAUGAAAUAAAAUUGUCUUUAUUUCAAAGUCUGUGAACUCAGAAAAGAGCUCUUUCAAGACUAGAGGAAUAUAUCUGCCUUGUAAUUUUUAUAUUUUACUCUAGUCAGAGGAGUGUUGAAUGCACACACUGCAGUAACGGAUGCUGUGACCUCCUGCGUUAUAUUAGAUUAGCACCCUGAGACCUUGCCAUUGCAUUGCCCUUGUCUGCUAGAGGUGUUGAGUAACUUUGUGAGCAGACAAAUGGAAAUUAAUAGGUUCUAAAUUCGUUUUGACGUGGAUGAGCUGUGUGAUUCAGAGAGGGAGAACUGCAGACAUAAAACAUUCAGGAAAUACAGUGAAGCAGUCAAAAUUUAGAAGCAUAUUUAGAUGUCAACGUCUCUGCCAAGUUUUGAUAACACGUACUGUUGCUGAAAAUGAAAAUGGGCAAGAUUUUCCAUAACUGAAGGUUUGUUGGACACAUUGAGGGCAGGAUUCAGAGCUAACUAGACUUAAUUAGUUGGUUCUAUGUUUGUAGUACAGACAGUGGCAGCUGGACCAAAUGGAGCUGGUGAAACACUGGAGAGUGACACUGAAACUGUACAGAUACUGUGCAGCAAAGGAAUCCUGGAGGCGCGUUUUUAAAGAGAACCACAUCAGAACACUUCUUGGGUAAUCCAAGAACAUUAACAGGUAUUUCCAGAAAGCAGUCACUCUGCAGAUGCAGUGCAGCAGGGGUGAACUUGCCUAUCUGUUCAUGCACACAUCAGUCUGUGUCUUCAGGUAUGAAUUCUCUGCUCUGAGCUUAACAAGUUAUUUCUGUGAAUUGCUUCUCUCUCGUUAUGAAAUUAAUUGAGUAAUAAAGACAUUUUAAGGAGUGGAGACUCCACAUUUUUGCCAAGUGAAAUGUACAGUAGUUAAAUUUCCACAAAAUAUGUUGUUGCACUUUAUCAGGGCAGAUACGCGUUUUGGGCCAACCACUGAAAACUGAAAGAUUUGUUUGGAGAAAAGAUAAAGUAUUCAAACUGGCCCAGUGUUUUCACUGGCAGUGUGAUAAUAAAGAUAACACUGUUGUUAUUGUUAAAGAUAUAUCCAUUUGUGAGUGAAAAAUAAUUCUUGGGGCAGGUAUUCAGAGGGAGAACGUUAUGAAAAAUUGUUCUAUUUUUGUUGUUUGUGGGGGGUGGGGGUUGGUAAUUGGUGACUUUUCUCGUUUGGGUUUGUUUGUUUGGUUGUUUUGGCUUCCUUCCCUCUCUCUGUCUUUCUCCCUUCUUUUUCAAUUCCUGGCACUUAACCCUUCCUAGAGGAGGUUGAUGUGAGAGCACUGUUCUACUCACAACAGCUCCUAUAAUGCUGAUUUCUGUUCUCAGGUACCUCAAGCCAAAGUAUCUUGGGUUUACAGAGGAUCACUACUUUUUAGGAUCAGGAAAGAGCAAGAGCAGUAAGCAGUUGAAAUCAAAUCCUACCUGCAUUCUGAAGACUGACAUUUUAGCACACGGUAUUUUGGUUGUCACGUUUCCCUAGGUAUCACACAACAAACUUGAGGUACUUAAGAGUGUUCUCACUAGACCAUGAGCAAAAAGAGUAUCUGUCCUGCAUAUAUCAGCCUUGGCAGCUUCUGAAAUGAAACUUCCAAUCUGGAGACAGACAUUUUUAUAAUGAUGGUUCAAGGGAGCGGUACUGUAAGUGCAGUCAGCAGGCCAUAGUGAAUUUGUCCAGAUGGAAGGUUUCUUGUGGAUACUUUACACUGUACCACAGUUAGAAGGUAGUUGCAAGUUUAAGUAGUUUCUAAUAGAGCGCUGUUUCCCUAAAAGGAAUCUGUUUAGAUGAAGCAUAUCCUAAAAAUAGAUGAAAACAUUCUUUUGUGGUUUUUGUCUGCUUUUAGCAAAUGACCUAACAAGUGGGAUUCCCCUGAAUAGGGAUCUCCCUGUCUGUAUAGCAGCUAGUAUAAGAUAGCUCACAGAUCAACAUGGCACAGUAUAAAAGUUUAUUAAUUAUUACUAUAGUAUCAUCUGUAUACUUUUCAAAAGCAAUUGAUAUAUUAUAGUGGCAUGGGAUUUCCUCCAUCAAUUCUUUAGAUGUUUUCUAGUCUCAGAGCCACAAGCCUUCUUUCCCUCUGCUUUAUGGCAUCCCUUGCAUCAGCACAAAGGUAGCAUGAAACACCUCCAGAUCCAAAACUCAGCACUAAACUGGCAUUUAGAGCGUGCUGGUGCUAACAAUAGGAUGGUGAUGACUUGUAUGCAAGGGCAGCCUAAAAGCAUUGCUGAAAGAUGGCAAUCCAGGGCUACUGUCAGGCUUUGGCGCAUUGUGAAAAUGCUGCUGAAGUGACAUGGGAGAAGUCUCAUUGCCUGGCAAUGUGUUGUGCAGUCUGUAAUGUUCUGCUAUUUUAUACAGUACAUCAGUGAUAUACUUUACGUAACUUUUUAAAUACAAAAUAUUGCUCUGCACCUGUUUAGUACUGGGAGGAACUUGGAAUAUGUACAAAGAGGUACAGUACUGACAGUGGUGUCUUAUAUACAUUAACUGGGUGUUGUCAUUUGUCCUCAUCAUUUUGUUUUUCUUUCUGUAGCAGUCCCUGCCUCUGAUUCCCCCAGGGUGCGGGAAAUAGAAGUCAUGUUUGGGAGUGGAUUUGGUAAUAAAACAGCAAGCCCAUGCUGCAGCACAGCACAGACAGACCUUCUCUAGCUGAAAUUUCUAAAGCAGCCCAGCAGUAGGCUAGGAACUCAUCACUGGCCCCUGUCCUCCCGGUGAGACCUGCCUGAGCGUUGCGCUGCCUUCUCACCAGCGCAGCUUGUUUAAAGCUGGCCCAGCCACAUCUCUGCGCUGCCACCUGUGGUGACAGCAGUACCCUGGGCUGUCUGCCCUCCUGCUUCUCACAGGGCUGGCUGUGGUAACACGCCACUGUCAGCGAUGGUAACGCCGCCUGGCUCUCUGUGGCUGGCUGAGGCAGGAGGAGGCCACUGUGUGUGACAAGUAUCGAAAAUGGCUUGGGAACAGAGAGAUUUGAUUGACCCGGGAAGAUCAAAAGAACUGCAGGAAUUAACUCUGGCCAAUUACGAUGUGACAUAAACCGUAUAAAGACAUUUAGGGUGGUCUUUUAGGACAAUGAGUUUCAAAUAAGCUGAAGGAAAAUUCUGGCUUAACAUUGGUAAGAAUGCUCUGGCGUGAGCCCAGCACUGUUGAUGUACAUUGGGUUCUUCCUGCAGGUGCACGGCUCACCUUGGAGCCUCCUUGUGCCAGACUUGGUGUGAGCACGCACACAGGUGCCCGCCUGGGGCAAGGCAAAGCAGUGAAGCAGAGACUGGUAUGGAGGAAACUGGUGGGAGAUGGGGAUAGGCAGGAUGAAAUAUUAGGCUGUACAAACUUUGCUUUCUGUGAUUUUGCCUUAGAGUAGGGUGAGUGUGUACACUGCAUGAUGUUUAACUAGCUCACGUUUUUUUUCUCCAAACCCCUGUAAAACAUCAGAAGACUGAAGGCUUUUGUUAAAAUGAAGAGAGCCUGACAACCUGCUGAGAUGUUGCACCUGUGAGCUGGGGGGAAACUGCCACAGGAGGUUUCUGUUCCUUAGAUGCACCAGUACAUCACCAAAAACGCCGGUGCCAAGGAGGAGUUGAGGCCCUGGGUUCUUCUCAAGCAGCCUUUGAGAUCUGGCAAACGCUGCCAGGUGCUGUGCUAUGUACCGAACCUGAAUCUUCCCAGCAGAUGGGGGGCCUAAACUUUAAAGCAUGCAGCUGAGGAUGAAGGCCGUGAUAGCCUGUUUUUCUUCAAAAGCAUGAGAUCACAGCAGCAACACAGAGCUGGAAGACCAAGAGAAGGUUGGGGCCCUGAAACAAACUGGAGGGUAAGACAAAAAGUGCAGCUGACAAACUUGGAGAGCCACUUGAGGAGGAGGAAAAGAUGAGGGGAAGAAGAAGCAACCCACGCAGAGGAUGGGGAGUUGUACUCUAAUCUUGUGUGCUGCAGGAGGAGCAUCCAGCUCCAAAGCUUACACACCAUGGUCAAGACAAAGGAAAAUUCCAGUUCUGAAUUUGCAGCCAGAAUUCAGGAACCAGAGGAGGGAGCUCAGGAGGUUGAACCUUUCAGGACAGCUGUGGAGCUGCAGUGUGACAAAGGACCUGAGGAGAACGUGUUUCAAGGCUGGGAGCAUCCUAGGACAGGCAGGCUGACAAGGCGCUGAUGGAGAGGGUGACCGUGUCACACCACUGCAUGGGCCAGGAGCAUCCUACAGGCAUUUGUUAAAUGCAAACUGAAGAAAAAGGAUUCUGGAUGAAAGUCACAAG